Molecule: ribosomal RNA, 1551 nt
Filed under: Staphylococcus haemolyticus
Lineage: Bacteria; Bacillati; Bacillota; Bacilli; Caryophanales; Staphylococcaceae
Description: bacterial SSU rRNA
Rfam family: Bacterial small subunit ribosomal RNA
Source: RNAcentral
UUUAUGGAGAGUUUGAUCCUAGCUCAGGAUGAACGCUGGCGGCGUGCCUAAUACAUGCAAGUCGAGCGAACAGAUAAGGAGCUUGCUCCUUUGACGUUAGCGGCGGACGGGUGAGUAACACGUGGGUAACCUACCUAUAAGACUGGGAUAACUUCGGGAAACCGGAGCUAAUACCGGAUAAUAUUUCGAACCGCAUGGUUCGAUAGUGAAAGAUGGUUUUGCUAUCACUUAUAGAUGGACCCGCGCCGUAUUAGCUAGUUGGUAAGGUAACGGCUUACCAAGGCGACGAUACGUAGCCGACCUGAGAGGGUGAUCGGCCACACUGGAACUGAGACACGGUCCAGACUCCUACGGGAGGCAGCAGUAGGGAAUCUUCCGCAAUGGGCGAAAGCCUGACGGAGCAACGCCGCGUGAGUGAUGAAGGUCUUCGGAUCGUAAAACUCUGUUAUUAGGGAAGAACAUACGUGUAAGUAACUGUGCACGUCUUGACGGUACCUAAUCAGAAAGCCACGGCUAACUACGUGCCAGCAGCCGCGGUAAUACGUAGGUGGCAAGCGUUAUCCGGAAUUAUUGGGCGUAAAGCGCGCGUAGGCGGUUUUUUAAGUCUGAUGUGAAAGCCCACGGCUCAACCGUGGAGGGUCAUUGGAAACUGGAAAACUUGAGUGCAGAAGAGGAAAGUGGAAUUCCAUGUGUAGCGGUGAAAUGCGCAGAGAUAUGGAGGAACACCAGUGGCGAAGGCGACUUUCUGGUCUGUAACUGACGCUGAUGUGCGAAAGCGUGGGGAUCAAACAGGAUUAGAUACCCUGGUAGUCCACGCCGUAAACGAUGAGUGCUAAGUGUUAGGGGGUUUCCGCCCCUUAGUGCUGCAGCUAACGCAUUAAGCACUCCGCCUGGGGAGUACGACCGCAAGGUUGAAACUCAAAGGAAUUGACGGGGACCCGCACAAGCGGUGGAGCAUGUGGUUUAAUUCGAAGCAACGCGAAGAACCUUACCAAAUCUUGACAUCCUUUGACAACUCUAGAGAUAGAGCUUUCCCCUUCGGGGGACAAAGUGACAGGUGGUGCAUGGUUGUCGUCAGCUCGUGUCGUGAGAUGUUGGGUUAAGUCCCGCAACGAGCGCAACCCUUAAGCUUAGUUGCUAUCAUUAAGUUGGGCACUCUAAGUUGACUGCCGGUGACAAACCGGAGGAAGGUGGGGAUGACGUCAAAUCAUCAUGCCCCUUAUGAUUUGGGCUACACACGUGCUACAAUGGACAAUACAAAGGGUAGCGAAACCGCGAGGUCAAGCAAAUCCCAUAAAGUUGUUCUCAGUUCGGAUUGUAGUCUGCAACUCGACUACAUGAAGCUGGAAUCGCUAGUAAUCGUAGAUCAGCAUGCUACGGUGAAUACGUUCCCGGGUCUUGUACACACCGCCCGUCACACCACGAGAGUUUGUAACACCCGAAGCCGGUGGAGUAACCAUUUGGAGCUAGCCGUCGAAGGUGGGACAAAUGAUUGGGGUGAAGUCGUAACAAGGUAGCCGUAUCGGAAGGUGCGGCUGGAUCACCUCCUUU